GGACCCGCACAAGCGGUGGAACAUGUGGUUUAAUUCGAUGUCACGCGAAAAACCUUACCAGGCCUUGACAUAGUAGUCGUAUGACACAGAGAUGUGUUAGUCGGUUCGGCCGGACUAUUACAAGUGUUGCAUGGCCGUCGUCAGCUCGUGUCGUGAGAUGUUGGGUUAAGUCCCGCAACGAGCGCAACCCUCAUCCUUAGUUACCAUCAGGUCAAGCUGGGCACUCUAAGGAAACUGCCGGUGAUAAGCCGGAGGAAGGUGAGGAUGACGUCAGGUCAGCAUGGCCUUUACGGCCUGGGCUACACACGUGUUACAAUGGUAAUUACAAAGAGAAGCAAGACAGCGAUGUGGAGCAAAUCUCAAAAAAUUACCUCAGUUCGGAUUGUACUCUGCAACUCGAGUACAUGAAGUUGGAAUCGCUAGUAAUCGUAGAUCAGCACGCUACGGUGAAUACGUUCCCGGGUCUU
This 467-nucleotide ribosomal RNA is filed under the name uncultured bacterium. RNAcentral's name for it is "bacterial SSU rRNA". It matches the Rfam family "Bacterial small subunit ribosomal RNA", at positions 917 to 1382 of the family's 1533-position model. The record is from RNAcentral.